Molecule: ribosomal RNA, 465 nt
Filed under: uncultured bacterium
Lineage: Bacteria
Description: partial 16S ribosomal RNA
Rfam family: Bacterial small subunit ribosomal RNA
Source: RNAcentral
GACGAACGCUGGCGGCGUGCUUAACACAUGCAAGUCGAACGGAAAGGCCCCCUUGUGGGGUACUCGAGUGGCGAACGGGUGAGUAACACGUGAGUAACCUACCCUUGACUUUGGGAUAACUUCAGGAAACUGGGGCUAAUACCGGAUAGGAGCUCCUGAUGUAUGGGGGGGGUUGGAAAGUUUCGGCCGUUGGGGCUGGGCUCGCGGCUUAUGAGCUUGUUGGUGGGGUAGUGGCUCACCAAGGCUUUGACGGGUAGCCGGCCUGGGAAGGUGACCGGCCACAUUGGGACUGAGAUACGGCCCAGACUCCUACGUGAGGCAGCAGUGGGGAAUAUUGCACAAUGGGCGGGAGCCUGAUGCAGCAACGCCGCGUGCGGGAUGACGGCCUUCGGGUUGUAAACCGCUUUCGCCUGUGACGAAGCGUGAGUGACGGUAAUGGGUAAAGAAGCACCGGCUAACUACGUG